Drosophila miranda is the source of this 1687-nucleotide long non-coding RNA. RefSeq lists it as uncharacterized. The record is from RefSeq and is a predicted model, not a curated record. The transcript is spliced from 3 exons. Lineage: Eukaryota; Metazoa; Arthropoda; Insecta; Diptera; Drosophilidae.
GAGCGGAACAAUUUUAAAGUGACACUGCGACAAAUAAGUUCUCCAAUAAUUGUAAGAGGAUGUCAUUACCUAAACCAAAUGUAAAAGAAACAGUAUUUAUCACCAUUUGUUCCUUAUACACCAAUAAAUGGUAUGCCGAUUUCCAGUCGACAUAUCAUCUAACUCAGUAAUUUUCAAAUGAUGGUGUGAGCAUAAAAGUCAAAAAUGUUGACGAACAUUAAUGCUAAUGGACUCUUCAAGGGUAUAUUUAGGCAGGGACUGAGAGGCAGAGGAAACACCUCUCAUUUGAUUACAUUAUUUUUGCAUUAUAAUUGCAUUAUUUGCCCUCUUCCUGGAAUAAAUAUCCACCUUCACCAAACUGCCCACCCAUUAGCGUUCUGAUUUGUUUUAUGUGCCUUUCAUGAAAGUAAUUGCUGUUGAUUCGAAUGCGGAACAUAAUAAUGUGAUAGACCUGCAAAUAUACAUAGAGUACAGACUAUAGACUGUUCCGUGGCAAUCAGUUUAUGGCAAAUAAAUUGAUGCAUCGAGGAUUAAUAUGGAGAUGGAGGCUGUACACCCAAAGAGAAGUCAGUGUCAGAUCGGAGUGAAUUAAAUUGGCUACCAAAUGGCCAGCACUUUCAUUGAGUUGAGAUUCAGUGGUCAGGGCUCAAUGGUCGCCGGGCAGUGACUGAACCCGUCGUUGCCUCUGACUCCACCACUCGCGCAUAUUGGCAUUCCCUUUUUAUGGCCUUUUGCUGCUGCCAUAAAUAUUUCAAAGCCCAACGUCGCUUUGGUUGCCAUGCACACAGCACAGCACAGAGCACAAAGAGGAGAAAAGGCAAUGGUAACAACUGCUAUCCACACACUAGACCAUUGUCCAUAUUGGUCAGUGUCUGUCCGUGCUCCGUGCUCCUUGCUCCGUGCUCCGUUGUUUGUUCCUUUUCUGACCCUCUCGGGCUAUCCUUUUGCGGGUGUGCUCUCGCUCUGAUGUGAUUUUAUUUAAAAUUGUUAGGCAAAGCGGAAGUAACUCAUUCAGUUAGCAACAAAAUCAGGCGCCCUGUUUUGUGCCCCUACCCUGCCUCCAUUCUUCCCCCAUCCUGCUCGGCUAAAUUGGAGUGUGACUUCCGCAUUGCAUUAGGGCUAUACUUAGUUGUUAGUGCUGUAGCUGUAGCUGUGGCUGUAACUAUAGCUGGAGCUGUGGCUGCCGUCCAGUUGCUGAUUGACUUACGUGCCUCUCGUUUUCCUCUCCGUUUUCGGUUUGCCGUGGUAGAUUUUUUGCCCAGUUUUUACGUGCAGCGGAAAUGCAUUUUUCCAGUCACGUUUCCUCGGGCCCAGACAGACGCCGGGCCAGAGCUCCAGCUGCUGUUGUUGGAGCUCAUCCAACCCACGCCUGCAGUGGCUGCAGGGGAAUUUAUUAAGCCGGGCGUGAUCUAUGCUCUCUGGCUGUGUGAACUAAAGUGCCUUGUAAUGGAGGUGGAUCUUCCUUCCGCAGCCGUCUGCCUAAUUGUAUGCCAGGUCGCGUAUGCAGCUUAGCAAUUAAUGGAGGCAGACGAGCCAAUUCAAGGGCUCCCAGGGAGACAAAAUUCGAUAUUCAAUAUGUUUUCAAUUUGCCGUUUUUCUCGUCCUUUGGUUUUUUUUUCUGUUGCCUUGCCGUUGGUCGUAUCAAAGGCAAUCGCAAAAGCCGUAAAACAAAUAAAAAUAAAACGAA